This 494-nucleotide ribosomal RNA is filed under the name uncultured bacterium. RNAcentral describes it as "partial 16S ribosomal RNA". It matches the Rfam family "Bacterial small subunit ribosomal RNA", at positions 28 to 507 of the family's 1533-position model. The record is from RNAcentral.
GACGAACGCUGGCGACGCGCUUAACACAUGCAAGUCGAACGGAAAGGCCUGCUUUCCCUUGUGGAUUGCGGGUACUCGAGUGGCGAACGGGUGAGUAACACGUGAGUGAUCUGCCCCCAACUUGGGUAUAAGCCUGGGAAACUGGGUCUAAUUCCCGAUAGGACUGCAGGGUGGUGCCUGUGGUGGAAAACGAUUUUCUAGUGGUUGGGGAUGAGCUCGCGGCCUAUCAGCUUGUUGGUGGGGUAAUGGCCUACCAAGGCGGCGACGGGUAGCCGGCCUGAGAGGGUGGACGGCCACAGUGGGACUGAGAGACGGCCCAGACUCCUACGGGAGGCAGCAGUGGGGAAUAUUGCACAAUGGGCGGAAGCCUGAUGCAGCGACGCCGCGUGGGGGAUGACGGCCUUCGGGUUGUAAACUCCUUUCGACCGCGAGGAAGCCACCUGGUUGGAAGGGUGGUGACGGUAGUGGUAGAAGAAGCACCGGCUAACUACGUG